RNAcentral lists this transfer RNA (72 nucleotides) under Enterococcus faecalis. RNAcentral's name for it is "tRNA-Asn". It matches the Rfam family "tRNA". From Rfam's summary of the family: Transfer RNA (tRNA) molecules are approximately 80 nucleotides in length. The record is from RNAcentral. Lineage: Bacteria; Bacillati; Bacillota; Bacilli; Lactobacillales; Enterococcaceae.
UCCGGCAUAGCUCAGUUGGUAGUAGCGCAUGACUGUUAAUCAUGAUGUCGUAGGUUCGAAUCUCUGCCGGAG